This is a long non-coding RNA of Coturnix japonica (Japanese quail), 3516 nucleotides long. NCBI's taxonomy places the organism in Eukaryota, Metazoa, Chordata, Aves, Galliformes, Phasianidae. The record is from Ensembl.
AUGUGUGGGCGUACAGAGCGUGGCUUGCACGCUCACACACGUGCCCAGAUGGCACUGCACAUACACACCCGUGCCAGCAGCCUGCCUGCACAGCAUGACACAGCAAUCCUGCCACCAGCACCUGGUGCUACAGGGGAUGCCCCAGCACUGCCAUGCCCUUGCUUGGUGUCCUGCAUACGGUGCAGCAGCAGCUCCUGGGACAGCACAGCUGCAGAGCUGGGAGGCUUCGGUGAGAAGAGCUGGGGCCAGAGCUGUCACUGCAGGACUUGGGGCACAGUCAGAGCUGAACUGCGGCCAAGGAUGGAGUGUGAGCCCCAAAACUGCCACCCCUGCAUCAUGAGGGUCCUGUCGCUGCUGCUGCUACUGGCGUUCUGCUGCCUCUGGGCCCGGCUGGUGGCUGUAGGUGAGCAUGGGAUGGGCUAUGGGGAGGGUCUGGGAUGCUGCGUCCCCAUGGCAGAAAGCACUUUGUACCAUGACCAGCAAACUUGGGGAGGGCCCAGUGUGCCCCAGGGUUAGGGUGCUCCUAUCUCUCCCCAGGGCUCACCUAGCCUGUUUGGACCUGGACCAAGGACCCCACUUGUGCAGUCUCAUGUCAGAAAGUCAGCCAGACAUGGACUCAUCCAUCGACUGCAGAGCGAGCACCCAUCAUCUCCCAUCCCAAAUCCACCCCUCCACCCUCAGCUCACAACUGGGUGUGGGGAUCUCUGUGCUUCUUCCUUGCUAUUAAAGCCCAUCCGCAAUUAGCUCUGCUGGUUUCUGAGAUGUUCAGUCUCCUGGUGAGCCUUCAUUGGAUCCCCGGCCCCCGUGGGAGGGAAGUGCCAUGGCAGCCAGCUGGUCCUGAGGCCAGCACACGUCCUGCCCUCACAUCAGGCUGCUCACCCAGGUUAUGACGUGUCAGGGGCAUCUCUGGGUUUGUGGAAGAAGCUGUGAAGAAGCAAGCUCCCAGAUGGCCUGGAGAUGCCAGGCAUUGUGACAAGGGACAGCUUGUUGUGUUGAGCAAGUGGCCCAUUGUGGGAUUUAUUAGGAAACAGAAGGUUCUGCCCAAAACAGCGCUGGUGUCCAGGACUGGCCCUGGCAGAGUGAGGUGAGGAGAGGCUGGAGGCAGCUCCGUGUGCCCACCUGCAAUGAGCUGUCCUCGCACCCUGUGCUCUGCACACACCUCACAGUGCUGGUCACUGAGCUGCUGCCAGCAUCGCUGCCAUCUCCACCACUGUCAUCUUCAGUCAUCGCUGUCACCGAAUCCACCAUCACCUCCAUAGUCAUUCUCAUCAUUUCCACCAUAGUCAUUACUGACAUUGUUACCACCAUCAUUAUCAUUGUCAUCAUAGCCCUCAUCAUCACUAUAGCCAUAGUAAUAAUCAUGGUCAUCUUCCACAUUAUCUUCAUGCACUUUUUUCUCAUCAACAUCAUCAUCGCUGUCAUCAUCAUCAUCGUCAUCAUCGCUGUCAUCACCCUCCUCACCGCCUCCAUGUUCAGACUUUGGUUUCUCUCCUGACUCAGGCUUCUCCCCACUCUCCUUUUUCCCCCCAGCCUCUGGUUUUGCCCCCCCCUCUGGUUUCUCCCCCAUCACAGGUUUCACUCCACCCUCUGGCUUUCCCCCAGUCCCCGGCUUUUUCCCACUCUCAGUUUUCCCUCCACUCUCCAAUUUCCCCCCACCCCCCGGUUUCUCCCCACUCCCUGGUUUUACCAUUGCUCCUGUUGUUAUCUUUGGCUUUUCCCCAGCCCCCCCCUUCCCCUCACACUCUGGCUUCUUCCCCACGCUGGGUUUCUUUGGGAUCUCUUGCUUUUCCCUCAUUGUGCUGCCUGCUGGAGGCUUCUCCCUGCUCCCAGCUCCAUUCUCAGCCACAGGUCUCACCGCCGGCCGCUCUCCAUGCAGGUGCUGCUCUGCACUGCCCCGCUCUGCCCCCGGCUGCUGCUGCACAGAUGGGCUCUGGGUGCCAUCCCGCUGCCGGCAACAGGCAUCUGCUGGCACUGCCGCCUGUGGCUUGGUCACAGGGAGGAUGGCUGCUGCUCCGUGCAGCCCUGGGCUGUACCUUCCUGGUGGAGGAAAUGGAGAAAGGUGAAACACCGAUGGCAGCAAGAUCUUAGCAACAUGAAAUGAAGAUAUUACGUAUUAUUCAACCAGGGCACAAACGUGGCAUUGAGAAUAGCUGUGAAGCAAGUGCAUACGCUUUGCUGUUAAGCAAUAGCAAACUAUCACACAGAAACAGCACAACACAGCGCUGACAUUCACUGCCUGCCUUAGAGUCUCCCUCUCUGAAAUGGAAUGGGACCACAGCAUUAGGAAGGAAGGCAUCACAGCCACUGACCGGCUGGCAAAGCAUAAGGCUUCAAGCCACAACUUAUCCAGGACCUAAAGAAAUUCAUCCUUCUAAAGGGGAACAUUUAGGAGACGAUGAAGCCAUUUCUGCAGACUCAUUUUCAUCAGAGCCUCAUUGCAGAGCAGCGGCAGGUCUGGCUGACACUGAGCAGUUACUGCCGGGCAGUUGGAGCUCAAACAUCAAACAGCCCAACUUAGAGUGAACGCUGAGUGAUCUGGAGGAGGAGACGGGCAGAGUUUUAAACACUGCCACGAUUCUUUCAUGGGAAUUUCUCUUCUUGCAAAUGAACUCCCAGGCUGAGAGCCGUGCAGGGGUUGCCUGGCUGGAGCCGCACACAGCCCAGGUGGGGGUGAAGGAAGCAGCUCCCCGGCACUAUGGCUCAGUGCCGGUGCCACCGCAGGCUCCGUCCCCAGCGGAGUUCAGCCUCCACGCAAAGACCCCCCGGCACCAGCCCCAUCCGGGCAGAGCGGGGCUGCAUCCUCCAGCGCUCGGCGAACGGGGAGCCCCGGCCCCAGCCAACAGCACCAGAAAAAGCAGCGUCAGAAGGAAAUAACAGAAAGCAAGAGAAGCUUCUGCAGCUGGAGCGCUCUGAACCGGACUCGCACGACAUUUAACGUUUCGCAGAAGCCAAAGGUUAGGAGCCUUAAGCAGGGCUAGAGCUCGCGAGGGUCGCAGCUCUGGCAGAAAGUGCUGGGAUAUAAAACCAAAGCAGAGCCACCCGCACAGCGCACAGCGCACCUCACCCACCGCGGGGCCGUGCUCACCUGCAGCGGGCGCGGCGUGCAGCGGGACACCGAGGGCCAGCAGCCCCAGCAGGAGCCAAGCACCCCCCCGCAUGGUGCCAGCACCCUGCCCGCACGGCGCCCAGACGGGAUUUAAGCUACAGCAGAGAGGCGGCCCCGGGCACCUCCCACGUCCUGCGUGCCCCGUGGGACACCCGCAGCAGCAGGGCAGGAGGAGACACCGGAACACCGGGCUGCGGCCAGCCCGAUUCUCGGCCCAUAAACCCUUAAUGGGCACUGGUAACAUCAGAGCUCCUCGUUCACCCCCAGGGGCACCUUCCCAGAUUGCAGAGCAAGAUUUCCCCCCCUCCAUUGCCCCGGAGGAGCUCAGCUCCACCUGUGCAGGGUUGAAUGUCAAUGCUGUAGCUUGUUAUGCUUUAAAACCAGCAGGAAUAAAUGUCUCCUGGCAGACA